AUAAGACCAUGUGAACCUCCCAGUCUGCAGCUUUCAGCUGUAUCCACACUAGGUGCACCAGUCGACAGAAAAGUCAGGUUUUGGGGAUUCAACUCGAUCCGGAGUCAGGUGGAUAGAAGAUCCUGCAACCACUUUGUCAAUUUAAAUGCAAAACAGAGAUCUGGGGAAGAGAGAUACGAUGACCCGUUCCCCUGACUUAUCUGGUCUGGGGAUCAUUCAGCUGGGAAAGACUGGAGCAGGGAUGAGUGCAACCGGAAACACCAAACAGGUGUUUAUAGAAGAGUUCUCUUCUGAGUCUGUGACGACACAAUGUGAAGAUAUCCAGAGGAUGAAGAGGACAGCUUCAGACACUACUGAAACAGGAGGAGGAGGAGGAGCAGCAGCAGGAGUAGGAGUAACAGAAGGUGUACUAGCAGCAGUACUAGGAGGAGUAGCAAGAGGAGAAGGAGUAGCAGCAACAGGAGCAGGAGUAACAGAAGGUGAACUAGCAGCAGUACUAGGAGGAGUAGCAGGAGGAGGAUCAGCAGGAGGAGGAGCAGCAGGAGGAGGAGCAGAAGGAGCAACAGAAGGUGUACUAGCAGCAGUACUAGGAGUAGCAGGAGAAGGAGCAGCAGGAGAAGGAGUAGCAGCAACAGGAGCAGGAGUAACAGAAGGUGAACUAGCAGCAGUACUAGGAGGAGUAGCAGGAGAAGGAGGAGCAGAAAUAGGAGCAGGAGUAACAGACGGUGUACUAGCAGCAGUACUAGGAGGAGUAGCAGGAGGAGCAGCAACAGGAGUAUUGGUACUGGCUUUGGGAAUACCAGCAGGAAGAGCAGGAGCAGGUGUAGCAGCAGUUGCAGGAGUAGCAUUUGCAGAGAUUUUUCAAAAACUUACGCCGAAAUCUACAAAAGGCAGGUGGAAAAGAGAAAGCCUCGAAAAAUGUAGUACAGAUCUGGUUAAGAACAAUUAAACUACCUGAGAGUAUAUCGUAUGUUUGUUUCUCUAGUUAAGACUCAUGUAAAAUGUACAUGUUCAAAUUAUAAAACAAACGUAUAUCAAGAUCCCUUUAUGGAAGGAACUUGUGUACUUUUUAAAAUCAGUCUCCCCUUUUAUUUAUAGUCAUAUUUUCAAUGGACCGUUCAGGGACCCUCCCCAAAAAAACAUUAUUUGUUGCAAUGUGAAUAAAUGUUACUAUCAUGUUUGUGUAGUGAAACAUGGGUAAUUUCAUGGUGUUUUUAAAGUAACCAAUGAAGAAUAUAUCACUGAUUAAAUUGAAUUUGUCUAUGGUGCCUUCGAUGCAAUAUAAGUAUAAAAAAUAUAUUUUAUUGACAUGUUGUGUACCAUUAGUCAAUGGGUGUGGCGUUAGAUGCACCAAUAGCAAACUGGUAUGAGAUUCCAUUAUGGGUUAUAGAGGAAACUAAUGUGAACCUCCCAUGUCCCCUGUAAAUCAGACUCAACACAUAGAUUGACGUUGUGGGGAUCCAUUUCUCUCCGGAGUCGGUUGGAUAGAAGAUCCUACAGCCACUGUCAAUUUGAAGGCAAACUGACAUAAUGCUUAGAUUUGUCCCCUGCAGUAAUCCUUGGCUAUUGCAGUGUUCCAUUAAAAAAAAGAGCAUCUGUGCCAUUAUUUCAACUUCUAACAACAAUAAUAUUUUGUCAUUUUGGAUUAUAUUGAUUGAGACAGUUUUAUAUCUUGUGUCAUUGCUGUUCUGCAAAAUAAAAA
Molecule: long non-coding RNA, 1702 nt
Organism: Oncorhynchus tshawytscha (Chinook salmon)
Lineage: Eukaryota; Metazoa; Chordata; Actinopteri; Salmoniformes; Salmonidae
Source: Ensembl